Non-coding RNA from Bos taurus (domestic cattle), 72 nucleotides. Lineage: Eukaryota; Metazoa; Chordata; Mammalia; Artiodactyla; Bovidae. The record is from Rfam.
UCCCUGGUAGUCUAGUGGUUAGGAUUCAACACUUUGACUGCUGUGGCCCGGGUUCAAUACCUGGUUAGGGAA